CCCAAUACUACAUGUUUUUUGUUUUAUUCACGUACGUAUACAAACACACUCUUUUAACUUUUUGUAGGGGAUUAGACUUAUCGACACUGCAAUAUUCCCAUUUGGAUGGUUCUCCUAAGUUUACACAGAUCGAUAUCUAGAAAAAAUGUUUCAAAAAGGAGAGAUUCGAAUCGAAUACCCACAUAGAACGGACAAGGUCGAUAAUGGACCCACCCUCAAGCAUGUUUGGCUUAUCGUUUUGAUGAGAACUUUCACUUCAAUUUGACAUAAGUCUCUCUAAGGCAAACUUUGGAAUGCUACUUUCCUUUUUUGCAACAUCUUGUUUCAGAGAUUCUUUUGCUUUUGAAUUUUUUUUUUUUUGAUAAAAUGUGAAUAAAAAUGGUGGUUUCACCUCUUUGUCCGGAACCCAAGCAUUGUAAACAGUCUCUCUCACCGUGAAUUGAACCCGAGUGGCGGUAGUUACAACUAUAAUCCCUUUGCCAAUAGGCCAACUCAACGUUGGUAAAACUGUUUUGGGUAAACUUUUUAUAAUUACUAGACCCCACCGCAAGCGGUGCCCCAAAUCCAAGGAUUUUUUUGGAGAGUCAUAGUACCACCGCGCCGACAGAGAGUUGAACCUGUGACAUCUAGCAGUCGUCUGUGAGAAGGAGGACCACUGCAAUACAAGUCCUUCUCUUUUGCUUUAGAAUUGGAUCAACCAAAGUAAUUUAAUCUAAACUGAUACCCAAAUCCUGAGCAAAACAAAACCAUUAUACUAUAACCAAACAUAAGAUAUGAAUUCUUCCCUAACUUUCCAUAAAAUGUACAUUUGUUAACUUUUGUAGUAAAGAAUUUGUAAAUUUGGUCUGAACUGAUUACUUUUAGUUGUGUUUUUGUGUCAAAAUCAACUCCAUUCUCAAAAAGUCAAUUACGUAUGUGAGUGGAACAGUGGAAGAAGAUGGCGACAAGUGGACGGUUUAUAAUUUCUCAACGAGCCUAUAAAUACGGGAUUUAAUUUCAUCACUAGUUGUUUAAAAAUCUUUCUUCAAGCAAAUUAAAAUCUUAUUCGAAAAUGUCUUGCUGUGGAGGAAACUGUGGUUGCGGAGGUUGCAAAAUGUACCCAGACUUGAGCUUCUCCGGGGAGACCACCACCACUGAGACUGUUGUCCUCGGCGUUGCUCCGUCGAUGAACUCUCAGUACGAGGCUUCCGGCGAGACUUUCGUCGCCGAGAACGAUGCCUGCAAAUGCGGAUCUGACUGCAAGUGCAACCCUUGCACCUGCAAAUAGAUAACCACAUAAACCCCUAAGAGUCUUGCAAUAAACCUUUUAUGUUAUGUUUAAUAAUGGCUGAUUUCUCCGGUUGUUUUGCCGGCGACAGUGAGUCUUGUUCUUCUGUGUGUGUUUUUUGGUUUGGUCAUGAGACAUCUCUGUAAGCUUUAUCUCUGCGACUAUAUAUAAGCCAAAAGUAUUAUGGGUC
Brassica napus (rape) is the source of this 1457-nucleotide long non-coding RNA. RefSeq lists it as uncharacterized. NCBI's taxonomy places the organism in Eukaryota, Viridiplantae, Streptophyta, Magnoliopsida, Brassicales, Brassicaceae. The transcript has 2 exons. The record is from RefSeq and is a predicted model, not a curated record.